Molecule: ribosomal RNA, 403 nt
Filed under: uncultured bacterium
Lineage: Bacteria
Description: partial 16S ribosomal RNA
Rfam family: Bacterial small subunit ribosomal RNA
Source: RNAcentral
AUUGAACGCUGGCGGCAGGCCUAACACAUGCAAGUCGAGCGAGCGGCGGACGGGUGAGUAAUGUAUGGGGACUGCCUGAUAGAGGGGGAUAACUACUGGAAACGGUGGCUAAUACCGCAUACUAUCGGAUAACCCAUAUGGGAUUAGCUAGUAGGUGGGGUAAAGGCUCACCUAGGCGAAGAUCCCUAGCUGGUCUGAGAGGAGGAUCAGCCACAAUGGGACUGAGAAACGGCCCAGACGCCUACGGAGGCAGCAGUGGGGAAGAUUGCACAAUGGGCGCAAGCCGGAUGCAGCCAUGCCGCUUGGAGGAAGAAGGCCGUAGGGUUGUAAAGGACGUUCAGCGGGGAGGCGUUACCCGCAGAAGAAGCACCGGCUAACUCCGUGCCAGCAGCCGCGGUAAUAC